Molecule: ribosomal RNA, 402 nt
Filed under: uncultured bacterium
Lineage: Bacteria
Description: bacterial SSU rRNA
Rfam family: Bacterial small subunit ribosomal RNA
Source: RNAcentral
UGGGGAAUAUUGGACAAUGGGGGAAACCCUGAUCCAGCAAUGCCGCGUGAGUGAAGAAGGCCUUAGGGUUGUAAAGCUCUUUCGCCCGCGAAGAUAAUGACGGUAGCGGGAGAAGAAGCCCCGGCUAACUCCGUGCCAGCAGCCGCGGUAAUACGGAGGGGGCUAGCGUUGUUCGGAAUUACUGGGCGUAAAGCGUACGUAGGCGGAUGCGCAAGUUGGGGGUGAAAUCCCGGGGCUUAACCUCGGAAUUGCCCUCAAAACUGCACGUCUUGAGACCGAGAGAGGUCAGGGGAAUUCCUAGUGUGGAGGUGAAAUUCGUAGAUAUUAGGAAGAACACCAGUGGCGAAGGCGCCUUACUGGCUCGGUACUGACGCUGAGGUACGAAAGCGUGGGGAGCAAACA